GACGAACGCUGGCGGCGUGCCUAAUACAUGCAAGUAGAACGCACAGUUUAUACCGUAGCUUGCUACACCAUAGACUGUGAGUUGCGAACGGGUGAGUAACGCGUAGGUAACCUGCCUGGUAGCGGGGGAUAACUAUUGGAAACGAUAGCUAAUACCGCAUAAUAUUGAUUAUUGCAUGAUAAUUGAUUGAAAGAUGCUAUUGCAUCACUACCAGAUGGACCUGCGUUGUAUUAGCUAGUAGGUGAGGUAACGGCUCACCUAGGCGACGAUACAUAGCCGACCUGAGAGGGUGAUCGGCCAACCUGGGACUGAGACACGGCCCAGACUCCUACGGGAGGCAGCAGUAGGGAAUCUUCGGCAAUGGACGAAAGUCUGACCGAGCAACGCCGCGUGAGUGAAGAAGGUUUUCGGAUCGUAAAGCUCUGUUGUAAGAGAAGAACGGGUGUGAGAGUGGAAAGUUCGCACUGUGACGGUAUCUUACCAGAAAGGGACGGCUAACUACGUG
This 505-nucleotide ribosomal RNA is filed under the name uncultured bacterium. RNAcentral's name for it is "partial 16S ribosomal RNA". It matches the Rfam family "Bacterial small subunit ribosomal RNA", at positions 28 to 507 of the family's 1533-position model. The record is from RNAcentral.